RNAcentral lists this non-coding RNA (432 nucleotides) under Marinomonas ushuaiensis DSM 15871. RNAcentral's name for it is "Bacterial small subunit ribosomal RNA". It matches the Rfam family "Bacterial small subunit ribosomal RNA", at positions 1 to 431 of the family's 1533-position model. Lineage: Bacteria; Pseudomonadati; Pseudomonadota; Gammaproteobacteria; Oceanospirillales; Oceanospirillaceae. The record is from Rfam by way of RNAcentral.
UAACUGAAGAGUUUGAUCAUGGCUCAGAUUGAACGCUGGCGGCAGGCUUAACACAUGCAAGUCGAGCGGAAACGAUGUAGCUUGCUACAGGCGUCGAGCGGCGGACGGGUGAGUAACGCGUAGGAAUCUGCCUAGUAGAGGGGGACAACAUGUGGAAACGCAUGCUAAUACCGCAUACGCCCUGAGGGGGAAAGGAGGGGAUCACUUGUGACCUUCCGCUAUUAGAUGAGCCUGCGUGAGAUUAGCUAGUUGGUAGGGUAAAGGCCUACCAAGGCGACGAUCUCUAACUGGUCUGAGAGGAUGACCAGUCACACUGGGACUGAGACACGGCCCAGACUCCUACGGGAGGCAGCAGUGGGGAAUAUUGGACAAUGGGCGCAAGCCUGAUCCAGCCAUGCCGCGUGUGUGAAGAAGGCCUUAGGGUUGUAAAGC